RNAcentral lists this ribosomal RNA (496 nucleotides) under uncultured bacterium. Its description in RNAcentral is "partial 16S ribosomal RNA". It matches the Rfam family "Bacterial small subunit ribosomal RNA", at positions 29 to 507 of the family's 1533-position model. The record is from RNAcentral.
AUGCACGCUGGCGGCGUGCCUAAUACCUGCAAGUCGAGCGAACGGACGAGAAGCUUGCUUUUCUGAUGUUAGCGGCGGACGGGUGAGUAACACGUGGAUAACCUACCUAUAAGACUGGGAUAACUUCGGGAAACCGGAGCUAAUACCGGAUAAUAUUUUGAACCGCAUGGUUCAAAAGUGAAAGACGGUCUUGCUGUCACUUAUAGAUGGAUCCGCGCUGCAUUAGCUAGUUGGUAAGGUAACGGCUUACCAGGGCAACGAUGCAUAGCCGACCUGAGAGGGUGAUCGGCCACACUGGAACUGAGACACGGUCCAGACUCCUACGGGAGGCAGCAGUAGGGAAUCUUCCGCAAUGGGCGAAAGCCUGACGGAGCAACGCCGCGUGAGUGAUGAAGGUCUUCGGAUCGUAAAACUCUGUUAUUAGGGAAGAACAUAUGUGUAAGUAACUGUGCACAUCUUGACGGUACCUAAUCAGAAAGCCACGGCUAACUACGUG